RNAcentral lists this small RNA (128 nucleotides) under Caloramator quimbayensis. Its description in RNAcentral is "c-di-AMP sequence". It matches the Rfam family "c-di-AMP riboswitch aptamer (ydaO/yuaA leader)". Rfam says of the family: This family represents a conserved RNA structure found upstream of the ydaO and yuaA genes in Bacillus subtilis and related genes in other bacteria. The ydaO/yuaA element is thought to act as a genetic "off" switch for the ydaO and yuaA genes in its native state. It is believed that the element may be triggered during osmotic shock leading to activation of ydaO, a predicted amino acid transporter gene, and members of the yuaA-yubG operon which code for KtrA and KtrB K+ transporters. Lineage: Bacteria; Bacillati; Bacillota; Clostridia; Eubacteriales; Clostridiaceae. The record is from RNAcentral.
AAUAAUUUAAUGCCGAAUCUCUAAUUGAGUACGGAGGAACCAAGGUAGGGGUGAAUCUGGCUUUAGCCGGUAGGGAAUCCUUCUCCCAAACCCGUCAGCUAACUUCGGAGGCAGGAAGGAGAAUAUUG